This 497-nucleotide ribosomal RNA is filed under the name uncultured bacterium. Its description in RNAcentral is "partial 16S ribosomal RNA". It matches the Rfam family "Bacterial small subunit ribosomal RNA", at positions 28 to 507 of the family's 1533-position model. The record is from RNAcentral.
GAUGAACGCUGGCGGCGUGCCUAAUACAUGCAAGUCGAGCGAACGGACGAGGAGCUUGCUUCUCUGACGUUAGCGGCGGACGGGUGAGUAACACGUGGAUAACCUACCUAUAAGACUGGGAUAACUUCGGGAAACCGGAGCUAAUACCGGAUAAUAUAUUGAACCGCAUGGUUCAAUAGUGAAAGACGGUUUUGCUGUCACUUAUAGAUGGAUCCGCGCUGCAUUAGCUAGUUGGUAAGGUAACGGCUUACCAAGGCAACGAUGCGUAGCCGACCUGAGAGGGUGAUCGGCCACACUGGAACUGAGACACGGUCCAGACUCCUACGGGAGGCAGCAGUAGGGAAUCUUCCGCAAUGGGCGAAAGCCUGACGGAGCAACGCCGCGUGAGUGAUGAAGGUCUUCGGAUCGUAAAACUCUGUUAUUAGGGAAGAACAUAUGUGUAAGUAACUAUGCACAUCUUGACGGUACCUAAUCAGAAAGCCACGGCUAACUACGUG